GAUGCUGUAAUUUGAGGAUCAAUUGUCUAUUGCUCUUUUGAAGUUGCAUCACAGCUACACCGACUUGCACCUGGCAAUGUUGCCAUCACUUUCAUUCACGUGAUCCACAAGCUUUUUAUCAUUAGCAUCAUGAAGAUUGUUCCAAGUCGGGAGAAGAAACAAACUUGCAUGCCUGCGUCUUUCAGGGGUCCAGCAGAAACUGCAGGAUGGUCAUUGACAACCACAAAAGGUUCACAGAGAGUGAGAUACAUCUCACAAAAGACAUAGCGAGAAACAGAAUCCAUGUUGAAAGGAUAAAUUCUCAACCAAAAGAUUUCAAAAUCCUGAGAUUCACCCCACCUCAUCUGCGUUGUUAUAGUAAUGUGCUGGAGGAGACUUGCUGUGCACUUGUAAACAUCCAAGACCCAUUCAUCAGAGAAGUAGCUGUUGAUUGGGAAACAAGGCCAGACAAUAAGGCAUGUCGAUUGGGUGUUGAGGGACUACUUGUCCCAUUGUCCAAGGCCAACAGGAGUGCAUCCUUCAGACCAUCCGGUGAAUGGACAUCCUGUACCAGUGUGGAGACUACAGUUGGGUCUCCAGUUGUGGAGACAACAGCACAUCGAGCCUGUGGACGGACAGGUCAGUAACUCAUCAAAUAUGAUGCAAUAUUGUGAAAAACAAUGAAUUUGUAGAUGCAUCACCAUCUUUACUUUAUGAAUCCUUUCCCCCGUGUUUUAGAUGAGGCGUGACAUGCGGAUCAUCAGACUCACCCCACGAUAAGCAGUGCAUGAUCAACGUCACCCUCAGCAAGGAAAUAUGCUGAAAGUGAUUUCUCUCCCAUCCUUAGAUGUUCUCUCUCUCUCUCUCUCUCUCUCUCUCUCUCUCUCUCUCUCUCUCUCUCUCUCUCUCUCUCUCUCUCGUUAAGCAGUCCAGAUGAUUUUUGUAGGGUGUGUCCAAUCCAACUCUACUUCCUCCUUAUUUUUAUUUAACUUGGCAAGUCAGUUAAGAACAAAUUCUUAUUCACAAUGACGGCCUACCAAAAGGCGGGGGGACGGGGGCUGGGAUUAAGUAUAAAACAUUAAAUAAAAAUGUAGCACCAAACAUAUCACGACAAGAGAGACAACACUACAUAAAGAGAGAUCUAAGACAACAACAUAGCAUGGCACCAACACAUGACAACACAGCAUGGUAGCAACACAACAUGACAACAACAUGGUAGCAACACAACUUGGCAGCAGGACAACAUGGUAGCAGCACAAAACAUGGUACAAACAUUACUGGGCACAGACAACAGCACAAAAGGCAAGAAGGUAGAGACAAUACAUACACAUACAUACAACAAUACAUCACGUGAAGCAGCCACAGCUGUCAGUAAGAGUGUCCAUAUUGGAGUCUUUGAAUGAAGCGAUGGAGAUAAAACUGUCCAGUUUGAGUGUUUGCUGCAGCGAACUGAGAAGAGGAGCGACUCAGGGAUGUGUGCUUUGGGGACCUUUAACAGAAUGUGACUGGCAGAACGGGUAUUGUAUGAGUAGGAUGAGGGCUGUAGUAGGUAAGAUGCUGGAAUGCCAGUAGGUAAAAUGCCAAAUGCAGGGAUAGCACAUAGCCCUUUGCUUUGAUGUUGCUUGCUUUGAUGUUGGCAGUUAAUUUGAAAUAUUGUCAGUUAAUCAUUCCACUUAAACUGUCUGGCUAGUUAGCUGACAAACAAACAUGCUGUGCAGAUAUAUCUACAAAUUGACCUGGCUAAUUGAUAGUUUGAGGAGGAGUGACAUGAUGCUGUGCUGUUACAUUUGUAAAUUACCUGAUAUAACAGCAAAAUGAGCUUAACUGAAACAUCUGCUAACUACAUUAAUCGUUGCAUUAUUUCAAAUACAGAUGCCAUUUUCCAUUGGGAAAGAAAAAUGGCACUGCAUUUACCAGAAAAAGAAGCUCCGCACAAUGAAUGGGGAAAUAAAUGAUUUAAACAUCACAGAUAUACAUUCCCGCUGUUCCCAUGAUAAAAUACAAUUUGAAUUGUGUCGGGCUACUGAAUGAAACUGUGAGGAGAUGCACUCAGACCGGCCUUUGUGAUUGAACCUCCGUUAACUACACUACUUUAGUUGGCUGAUUUGAGCAAAACUUGUAUGUAAUAAAAACCUAUUCUGAGAGCCUAGUGUGUGUGUAUGAACUAUGUGGACAGGAGACGCAACGAGAACGCUCAUCCCCCUAAAAAGAACACUAAUUGGAUAUAAAACAAAAACUAAUUUGUGUGCAAAAACUAUUUACAAUAUAUUUGCAUAUGUUCACUGUUGCAGUGCCAAUUUUGGGAGCAUGUGGUGCUUGAAAAACCCCUCUAGUCCAGCAAUAGGAUUCUGCCAGAUGUCGUCACACUGGUGAUGGAGACUUUGGUAGUCCACACAACGAAGAAGCAAGUCUCCCUUCCAGUGAUGUGGAGCUGCCCUUGGACCUGGUGCCAGUGGGGAUGGUCGUCACGGAGGCGGUAAGACCCUGUCUCUUCCUGGAUAUAGAAUAUCCAGGAAGAUAUCCUUCAACUUGACUGCCUCUUCAAUGGUAAGGUCCCUUGCACCAUAGGGACACUUGACCUCCAACACUGCUGUGGUGCCCCACUAUCCGGUGGGGCAGCCAGGAUCCCAGACCCCGUGACCGAAAGCCCUGACUGCUGCACAUCAAUCCCUGUAGCCAUUUUGAAUGGCUUGAUGUGCUCUUCUUGGUUAUCGGGCCGACCCUUUUCUCUGUGUAUAUCAACGAUGUCGCUCUUGCUGCGGGUGAUUCCCUGAUCAACCUCUACACAGACGAUACCAUUCUGUAUACAUCUGGCCCUUCUUUGGACACUGUGUUAACAAACCUCCAAACAAGCUUCAGUGCCAUACAACACUCCUUCCGUGGCCUCCAACUGCUCUUAAACGCUAGUAAAACUAAAUGCAUGCUUUUCAACCGUUUGCUGCCCGCACCCGCCCACCCAACUAGCAUCACUACUCUGGAC
This 2959-nucleotide long non-coding RNA is filed under the name Oncorhynchus mykiss (rainbow trout). Its description in RNAcentral is "lncRNA (ENSOMYG00000070743.1)". The record is from RNAcentral. Lineage: Eukaryota; Metazoa; Chordata; Actinopteri; Salmoniformes; Salmonidae.